GGAGGGAAGGCAGCUGCGGCCCGCGCCGUUUCUCUCCGCCAGAGGGACCCUCGGGAGGCGCCGCACCGGCGCCGCCCACCUCGGCGGGAUCAUGGAGCGGCUGGUGGUCGAGGAAGAAGAAGGAGAGGAGGAGGAGGAAGCAGAUUUGAAUGGAGAGCCCUACUGGUAUAGUGUGAUUAACUAUGCUAGGUAUGAGACCUUGGAAGACAUCAUUGAGGAAGCAGAAGAAGACAGCGACAACGACGAAGUUCAGAAUGGUCCUUACACCACAUUCUCUGGUUUUCAGAGGGCCUUUCUUUCUCCACCUUCUGUCCCUCUCCCUCCCCAAAGCAGCAAUUUGGACCUUGCUCUUUUGGGCUCGGCCUUGCCCCAGAAACCACAACUUACAGCUGAGGAGGCUGAGCGGAAUGCAAAAUUGCUGGUCGCUGAGGAGGAACGCCUCAAGAAGAAAGCUGAGAAGAAAAGGAUGAAGAAGAAGAGACAGAAGGACCGGAAGAGGCAGGAGAAGCGGAACCUGGAGCUAAAGGCCAAGAGUGAGGCAAAUAAACCUUCAGCCGGACAAGAUGAGGGAACUUUGACCUUGAGUGAUGGUCUCCCUGAC
Molecule: long non-coding RNA, 601 nt
Filed under: Notechis scutatus (mainland tiger snake)
Lineage: Eukaryota; Metazoa; Chordata; Lepidosauria; Squamata; Elapidae
Description: lncRNA (ENSNSUG00000003365.1)
Source: RNAcentral